RNAcentral lists this ribosomal RNA (263 nucleotides) under uncultured bacterium. RNAcentral's name for it is "partial 16S ribosomal RNA". It matches the Rfam family "Bacterial small subunit ribosomal RNA", at positions 793 to 1055 of the family's 1533-position model. The record is from RNAcentral.
GUCCACGCCUUAAACUAUGAAUACUAAGUGUCGGCGGGUUACCGCCGGUGCCGCAGCUAACGCAUUAAGUAUUCCGCCUGGGAAGUACGGCCGCAAGGUUGAAACUCAAAGGAAUUGACGGGGGCCCGCACAAGCGGUGGAGCAUGUGGUUUAAUUCGACGCAACGCGAAGAACCUUACCCAGGCUGGACAUGCAGGUAGUAGAAGGGUGAAAGCCCAACGAGGUAGCAAUACCAUCCUGCUCAGGUGCUGCAUGGCUGUCGU